GUCUCAAACUCCUGGACUCAAGUGAUCCUCCCACCUUGGCCUCCCAAAAUGCUGAGACUAUAGGCAUGAGCCACUGUGCACAGCUGAAAUGCCCCUCUGAAGCAUAUGGGGUGGGACUUCUUGGCCUCAUUUUCCAGAUAAGUGGCUGAAUCUCAGAGAAGAAAAGGGACUGGCCAAGGCCACCCAGGGGGGGCAAAACUACCAGCUGACCCUAAUAUCUUCUUACAUCAGAUGAGGAUUUUUGGCUGGCUCAUGGUCCUAUCAGCUAAAGAUCACCCUUCUUGGCCUCCCCUGCAAGGAGUAUGGUAAUGUAAAGUAAAGCUAAUAAAGUAAGUUGUGCCACUUUGGGAUUAUAUUUUCCCUCUGAUAGAAUGCAGUUGUGAUGGUAGGAGCUGGAGCAGCCAUGUUGAAUCAUGAGGUGGGAGCCAUGAAUAAAGAUUGGGAAACCAAGAAAGAGAGGGAAGCUGAGACCCUGCCCUAUAGAGCCCCCUUAUCUGUUCUGAAUAGUUGAUACUUGGACUGUUACCCAAGAAAGAAAUACAUUUGUCUCUGCCUGGCCUUUGUCACAGCAGCCAUACCUAUAUCUUACCUUAUUUUGAAUCAUGCAAAAAAUGGGUAGAUGGAUAUUUGUCCACUGUGGUGUCGUGUUUGAGAUCUUUUGGCUUAAGACACUGGCUCCAUGACUCAUGCAUGGGGAAGCCCCCUAAAGAGAUAAGCACUUACCCAGGGUACAGAGGAGUAGAAACUAAGCAUGAAGAGAGGCUCUCAGGACUGCCAGUGGGAAAAGGGUGCUAUGGCUUGGAUAUUUGUUCCCUACAAACCUCAUGUUGAAAUUUGAUCCCCAAUGUUGGAGGUGGGGCCAAAUGGGAGGUGUUUAGGGCAUGGGGCAUGGGGAUGGAUCUCUCCCUCCCAUGGGGUGAGUUCUUGUUCUAUUAGUUUCCAAGAGAGCUGGUUGUUAAAAAGAGCCUGGCACCUGCCCCUACUCUUGCUUCUUCUCUGUCCAUGUGAUCUCUGCACACGUGGACUUCUCUUCACCUCCCACCACAAGUGGAAGCAGUCUGAGGCCCUCACUGGAUGCCCAGUCUUGAACUUCCAGCCAGCAGAAUCAUGAGCCAAAUAAACCUCUUUUCUUUGUAAAUUACCCAGCAUCAGUUAUUCCUUUAUAGCAACAUGAAAUGGACCAAGACAAAGGGACUUCAGUAUUAAGAUACUAAGCAUAAAAAAUGGCAGUUUCCAUAGGUGCCCCAGUGUAAGAGCUACAUGGGCAGACACUCCAAAACACAAGUGCUACUUUGCACUGUGCUGCUUCUCCCAGGGCCCAGAGAGAUUAAGCAACUUGACCAAGGUCCCACUGGUAAGUGGCAGAGCUAGGACUUAAGUCCAGCUGUGAUAUGAUUUGGAUUUGUGUCCCACCCAAAUUUCAUGUUGAACUGUAAUCCCCAAUGUUGGAGGUGGGGCUUGGUGGGAGGUGAUUGGAUCAGGGGGGCAGUUUCUCGUGAAUGGGUGCUCAUGAACAGCAUCCCCUGCGUGCUGUCCUUCUGAUAGUGAGUGAGUGAGUUAUUGCAAGAUCUGUUUGUUUAAAAGUGCGUAGUACCUCCCCCCUUUGGAGCAACAGGAAUUCUCAUUCACUGUUGGUGGGGAUGCAAUAAUGGUGAAGCCACUCUGGAAGACAGCUUGGCAGUUUUUAACAAAAUAAACAUACUCCUACCAUGCAACCCAGGAAUCAGGCCCAUUGGCAUUUACCCACAUGAGCUAGAAACUCAUGUCUACACAAAAAACUACACAUGGAUGUUUAUAGCAGCUUUAUGCAUGAUUGUCGGAACUUGGAAGCAACCAAGAUGUCCCUCGGCAGGUGAAUGGAUAAAAACCGAGGUACAUCCAGACAAUGGAAUAUUAUUCACUGCUAAAAAGAAAUGAGCUAUCAAGCCACAAAAAUACAUGGAGGAAACUUACAUGCAUGUUAGUAAGUGAAAGAAGCCAAUCUGAAAAGGCUAUUCUCUGUAUGAUUCCAACUCUAUGACAUUCUGGAAAAUCUAUGGAGACAGCAAAAAGAUCAGUGGUUGCCAGGGGUUGAGGGGAGACAGGAAUAAACGGGUGGAGCACAGGGGAUUUUUAGAGCAGGGCAAACUCUGUAUGGCACAGUAAUGGUGGAUUCAUGUCAUUACCCAUUGGCCCAGCCUCACAGAAUGUACCUCGAGCACAUUCAUCCACCCUAAUGUAAACCAUGGACUUGGGGUGAUGAUGUGUCAAUAUAGAUUCAUCAGUUGUAACAAAUGUUCCACUCUGGAGAGGGAUGUUGAGAAUGGGACAAGCUGUGCCUGUUUUGGGGGAGGGCGGACAAGGGAAACCUCUAUCUUCUGUUCAGUUUUGCUGUGAACCUAAAACUGCUCUAAAAAGUAGAAUCUAUUUUUAAAAAUCUGAGGGUUUGGGUUGAGGACUGAGGACUUAUAGGGCCGUCUCCAGGCCUUUAGGAUGGUCCUGGCUUCUGGUCCCAGAGCUCAUGAGGGGUAUCCCAGUAUUGUACAGGAGAACCAGGAGAGGCUUACAGCAGAUUUGGAGCCAGGGAGCCCAGGCUCGUCUGCUUCUGAGGGGCAGCCUGGGGCCCUCAGUGGUACAGGAGCAGUGGCCCCUGACUGGCAUGAGGUUGGCAUAAGCCUUCCCUGGGAUAUACUCAGAGCUUGGCAUGUUCAAGUUGAAAAUCAUUCUUAGAAUUUCUCGGCCGAGCGCGGUAUCUCACACCUGUAAUCCCAGCACUUUGGGAGGCUGCGGUGGGUGGAUCCUAGCCCAGGUUUCUCAGCUGAGGCACUGCUGACAUUUUGGGUUGGAUAACUCUAUGUUGUGAAAUUCUGUCCUGUGCACUGUAGGAUUCAGCAUCUGUGGUCUCCACCCACUAGAUACCAGACACACCUUCCCUCCCUGUUGUAACAAUGCAGAAUGUCUCCAGACAUGGCCAAAUGCCCCAUUGAGAACACUGCUCUCAUCACCUUCACUUUCCAGAUAGGGAAAACUGAGGCCUGUGGGGGCCAGGACUUACCCAGGGUUUCACAGCACCUGAGAGCUGCUCAGGCAAGGUGGAUUUGGAGCUGCCCUGCCCAAUUCCUUGGCACUCGAAAAUCCAGCACAUGCCCAAUGUCCCAGGCAAGCUGUGGCUCUGCACCUGUGGGCUCCAUCCACCGGGGCCAGGGUGAGAAGGAGGCAGUGAAUGCCCCAGGAGCAGCCCCCCGUAGUGAUGGUCUGGGUGGAGGGUAAAUGCCCCAUCUCCCUCGCCCCAAAGUGGAAUUGAGCCUCAGUUGCUCAUCACCUAUUCUGACUUCGUUUCCUUCCUGGAUCCCUCCCCAAAUAAACUAUUCCCACCCGCAUCCUUAUCUCAGGAUCUGUUUCUAGGGAACCCAAGGAUUGCAUUGUAUCUUGCCUGUACUUCCUGCCUUCAAGAUUCUCUGCACCAGGUUAUGAUCUGGAGUAUUCCUGAGCCUGGGAAGCCAACAGACUGUCUAUGUUUGUCCGGUGGCUGGAGCCCAGCUGGUGACUGCGGUGGUAUGGAAAGAAGGGGCCUGUUUGUUGAAGCCAAGGUGCUGGAAGAACUGCCUGUGUCGUACUGACAAGCCAAAGAAACUGAACACUCCCGGAGAUCCAGCAUCCAGACCAAGAAACAGGAUGUUUGCAGCCCCCAGAAGCCCCUGUGGGGGUCAGUCGCUUCCAGCCACUCCCCUGCCAGAGGAACCAUUGUCCUGCCUCCUAAUAGCACAGUUUUUGUUUCCUUUCUGGAUUUUAAAUAUUCUCCAGUUUAGGCAUGGUGCCUCACACCUGUAAUCCCAGCAUGUUGAGAGGCCAAAGUGGGAAGAUUGCUUGAGCCCAUGAGUUUGAAACCAGCCUGGGCAACAGAGUGAGACCUCGUCUCUAAAAAAAAUUAAAAAAUUAGCUGAGCUUGGUGGUGCAUGUCUAUAGUCCCAGCUACUUGGGAGGCUGAGACAGGAGGCUCAUUUGAGCCCAGGAGUUCGAGGCUAUAGUGAGCUGUGAUUAUGUCACUACACUCCAGCCUGGGUGACAAAGUGAGAUGCUGUCUGUAAAAAUAAAUAAUAUAAUAAAUAUAUAAAUAUAAUAAAUAAAUAAAUAAAAUAUAAUAAAUGAGUAUUCUCCUUUCCUGGUGAGGGGUGGAGGCUGGCAGGAGGGCCAGGCUGAGGAUGUCAGAAGAGAAACCUUACUCCCAGAUCCUAGAAGGAGAGAGGCACCCCAGCGAGGCGUGGGGACUGGGGCCUUUGAGGCUUCCUCCUCACAGCCCCUUGCACCUUCCCACCUGCUGGGAGUUUUAGGGGGUUUCCAGAGGCUGCAGAACCAGGACAAUAUUUUCUAGAGUCCUUGAGUUUGGUGUGACCACAGGCAGCCUGAAACCGAAAGCCAGGCCUUGGGACUGGGCGGCUGCUUCCCUUGGCUGGGAUUUAAGCACAGGCCAG
Molecule: long non-coding RNA, 4451 nt
Filed under: Homo sapiens (human)
Lineage: Eukaryota; Metazoa; Chordata; Mammalia; Primates; Hominidae
Description: HSALNT0227657
Source: RNAcentral